Neofelis nebulosa (Clouded leopard) is the source of this 2165-nucleotide long non-coding RNA. RefSeq lists it as uncharacterized. The record is from RefSeq and is a predicted model, not a curated record. The transcript is spliced from 5 exons. Lineage: Eukaryota; Metazoa; Chordata; Mammalia; Carnivora; Felidae.
CAGCCAUCCACUCUGUUGUCAGAUGGAUGGAUCACUCUGUUGUCAUUCACUUCGCAGAUUUUUCUCAAUAUGAAGAAAUGGACCACCCCCUGAACUUCUCCUCCUGUCUCACCACACACACAGAAAUAUUAGAAACAAGUCAUGAAGCCCUAGCCCACACUCCAAGGGAGGGGAUUACAGAAGUGCAUGAAUACCAGGAGACAGGAACCUUUGGGAACCAGUUAUGAAGGAAAGAGAGGAAGAGCCCAUCCCAUGGAAGAGAACCAGCUGUGCUUCAACUUCCCACCCAAGCUACACUACCUACUACAGCAGUGCCAGUGUCACCAUCGUGUGGGAAUUCCGUUCCUACUAGCGGGGAGCCUGGAUCUUGCCCUGGAGGUUGACAAAAACAAGGCACCAGAUAUGCAGGCGAGCCCUUUUGGAUGGGCUAGUCCAGUAGAGGUCCCAGAGGACUGAAGCCUGACCUGACAUCACUGUGAGCAGAAGACCCUCCCAGCUUGCUGUGUAACUUUCAUAUUCAACAAGGAAUGCCCUCCCCCGCAACUGGAAAAUAUGGUGAGGUGACUAUGAUGAGUUGGGGAAAGAAUUAUUUAGGUCAUGGAAGAGGUGGGUUCAAAUCUAGACUCUCUCAUUUACUAGCUAGGAUACUUGGGGCAAACUACUUAGCCAGGUUCUUUCAGGUUCAAUUAACACUAAUUGUCAUAACAAAAUACUUUCUGAGAGCUUGCUACUUACUACAUUGAGAACUUUAUACAUAACCUUUUGUUUUAAUCCUCAUUUUAUUCCCACAAGAUAGAUGCUGUUAUUACAGGACUCAGAGGUUAAAAAGGAUGUCCGAGGACACAUGACUGGUAAGUAGCAAUGAAAACCCAGGCUGUGUGACUUCAUGGCCUGAGCUCUUGCCAUAUAUUGGAAUAAUAUUUCCUCACUAGCUUGUUCUGAAGGCUACCUUAUUUAUCAUGUGAAAGCAGAAAGCAGCUGGAGUGGUGACUGACACACAGGAUUGUUUUCAAUCAUUGAUUGAUGAUUUUUCAACUCAGGUGCUUUAUGACUCCAGAUCAAUCCUUUCCUAAAUCCUGACACUGUGCUGACAGGAACACAAAAGAGACAAAAUGUCUAACAGUGUUCUGCAAUGUUCCCAGUCAUACUUAAGCAGUGAUGAUAACGAAUAAAUAUGUAUACAGUGUCAUAAUAAGAUGUGCGUCCUAUGACCUGAGCUUGCUUCCUAGAAUCACCAUGAAGUUGGGCAUUCUACAGCUGUUUAUAGAAAGAUGCAAAAAGUUACAUCAGAUAACACUACUCUUCACCACUGUUACCGUAAGAUUGCUCAGAUCUCACCGGAGAACUUAGUAAUAAUGUGGUUAAUAGUCACGACAACCAAAAUGGCGCUUAAUAUUUCUGCAGUAUGUUUUCAUGGGGAAAUCUUCAAGCCAGAUCCUUGUAAUCACCCUUGUAUUCAGCUUCACUGUUCAGAGUUUAUCUUGCUCUGCUUCUGGUGGCAUUUGACAUUGCUGGGUCCUUCCACCCACCUGCCUUCCAGGAUAUCAGCUCUCCCAGUUUGUUCACCCUGGAAAAAGGUCUUCUUGAUCCGACUGGUUUUUCAGUCUCUGCCCAGCCCUUAAAAGUUGAAGCUGCUACUUUUGAGGCAAAGCACCACUCAUUCAUUAAUUCAUUCACCCAUUCAUUGAGGACGUCUCAAAUACCUACUAGGUGCUGUGGAUACAGCUGUGAAUGGAUCAGACUUUAUGGAACUUCCCUGCUUUUUAAAGGCGAGACAGAUAAUGAAAUAAAUCUGUAAAUUAUAUAGUGUGAUAGAUGAUGGUAAGUAGUAGGAAGAAAAGUAAAGUGGGAAAGGAGGAAGGGUAAUUACUAGAGUUUGAUCCUAAAUAGGUGGUCAGGGCAGUUCCCACUAAGAAGAUAUUUACCCAAGGACUUGAAACCAUGGAGGGAGUGUGCCCUGUCGCAUCUGGGGGAAAAACGUUAAAAGUAGAGGAAACAGUGAGUACAAAGGCUCUGAGGAGGAGCCUGCCUGGGGGAGUUUGAGGACUAUCGGAGAGGCACAUGUGGCAUCUGACUUCGGCUCAGGUCAUGAUCUUUCGGUCCGUGGGUUCAAGCCCCAGAGCCUGGAGCCUGCUUUGGAUUCUCUUUCUCUGCCCCAACUCUGC